AGGAAAAGAAACCAACAGGGAUUGCCCUAGUAACGGCGAGUGAAGCGGCAACAGCUCAAAUUUGAAAGCUAGCCUUCGGGUUCGCAUUGUAAUUUGUAGAGGAUGAUUUGGGGAAGCCGCCUGUCUAAGUUCCUUGGAACAGGACGUCAUAGAGGGUGAGAAUCCCGUAUGUGACAGGAAAUGGCACCCUAUGUAAAUCUCCUUCGACGAGUCGAGUUGUUUGGGAAUGCAGCUCUAAAUGGGAGGUAAAUUUCUUCUAAAGCUAAAUAUUGGCGAGAGACCGAUAGCGCACAAGUAGAGUGAUCGAAAGAUGAAAAGCACUUUGGAAAGAGAGUUAAAAAGCACGUGAAAUUGUUGAAAGGGAAGCGCUUGCAAUCAGACUUGUUUAAACUGUUCGGCCGGUCUUCUGACCGGUUUACUCAGUUUGGACAGGCCAGCAUCAGUUUCGGCGGCCGGAUAAAGGCUCUGGGAAUGUGGCCUCCACUUCGGUGGAGGUGUUAUAGCCCAGGGUGUAAUACGGCCAGCCGGGACUGAGGUCCGCGCUUCGGCUAGGAUGCUGGCGUAAUGGUUGUAAGCGACCCG
Molecule: ribosomal RNA, 582 nt
Filed under: Aureobasidium pullulans
Lineage: Eukaryota; Fungi; Ascomycota; Dothideomycetes; Dothideales; Saccotheciaceae
Description: partial large subunit ribosomal RNA
Rfam family: Eukaryotic large subunit ribosomal RNA
Source: RNAcentral